AGAGUUUGAUCCUGGCUCAGGAUGAACGCUGGCGGCGUGCUUAACACAUGCAAGUCGAACGAAGCACUUUUAUUUGAUUUCUUCGGAAUGAAGAUUUUAGUGACUGAGUGGCGGACGGGUGAGUAACGCGUGGGUAACCUGCCUCAUACAGGGGGAUAACAGUUAGAAAUGACUGCUAAUACCGCAUAAGACCACAGCACCGCAUGGUGCAGGGGUAAAAACUCCGGUGGUAUGAGAUGGACCCGCGUCUGAUUAGGUAGUUGGUGGGGUAACGGCCUACCAAGCCGACGAUCAGUAGCCGACCUGAGAGGGUGACCGGCCACAUUGGGACUGAGACACGGCCCAAACUCCUACGGGAGGCAGCAGUGGGGAAUAUUGCACAAUGGGGGAAACCCUGAUGCAGCGACGCCGCGUGAGCGAUGAAGUAUUUCGGUAUGUAAAGCUCUAUCAGCAGGGAAGAAAAUGACGGUACCUUACUAAGAAGCACCGGCUAAAUACGUGCCAGCAGCCGCGGUAGUACGUAUGGUGCAAGCGUUAUCCGGAUUUACUGGGUGUAAAGGGAGCGUAGACGGAGUGGCAAGUCUGAUGUGAAAACCCGGGGCUCAACCCCGGGACUGCAUUGGAAACUGUCAAUCUAGAGUACCGGAGAGGUAAGCGGAAUUCCUAGUGUAGCGGUGAAAUGCGUAGAUAUUAGGAGGAACACCAGUGGCGAAGGCGGCUUACUGGACGGUAACUGACGUUGAGGCGCGAAAGUGUGGGGAGCAAACAGGAUUAGAUACCCUGGUAGUCCACACCGUAAACGAUGGAUACUAGGUGUAGGAGGGAUUAAACCCAUCUGUGCCGGCGUUAACACAAUAAGUAUCCCACCUGAGUAGUACGACCGCAAGGUUAAAACUCAAAGGAAUUGACGGGGGCCCGCACAAGCAGUGGAGUAUGUGGUUUAAUUCGACGCAACGCGAAGAACCUUACCAGGGCUUGACAUAUACCGGAAUACUUAAGAGAUUAAGUAGUCCUUCGGGACCGGUAAACAGGUGGUGCAUGGUUGUCGUCAGCUCGUGUCGUGAGAUGUUGGGUUAAGUCCCGCAACGAGCGCAACCCUUAUUGUUAGUUGCUACGCAAGAGCACUCUAGCGAGACUGCCGUUGACAAAACGGAGGAAGGUGGGGACGACGUCAAAUCAUCAUGCCCCUUAUGUCCUGGGCUACACACGUAAUACAAUGGCGCACACGGAGGGAAGCAAAACCGCGAGGUGGAGCAAAUCCCUAAAAGGCGUCUCAGUUCGGAUUGCAGUCUGCAACUCGACUGCAUGAAGUCGGAAUUGCUAGUAAUCGCGGAUCAGCAUGCCGCGGUGAAUACGUUCCCGGGCCUUGCACUCACCGCCCGUCA
This 1385-nucleotide ribosomal RNA is filed under the name uncultured bacterium. Its description in RNAcentral is "bacterial SSU rRNA". It matches the Rfam family "Bacterial small subunit ribosomal RNA". The record is from RNAcentral.